Molecule: long non-coding RNA, 599 nt
Filed under: Mytilus galloprovincialis (Mediterranean mussel)
Lineage: Eukaryota; Metazoa; Mollusca; Bivalvia; Mytilida; Mytilidae
Source: RNAcentral
GCUAGUAACCAUUUCUGUUAAGUUUCAUCCAGUUUGCAGGAUUUUUAUUUAUUUUUUUUAUUUUUUGACCUUUUCGCAUUGUUUCCAUGGUAACUACAGACAUUUUGAAAUUCCAACUCCAAAUGGCACAUCUUCCGAUGUUGCUCAUCGUUACUGUGAAGUUUCAUGAAGUUUGGAGCAUUUUGAGAUUUUUGAAAUUUUUGGUGUAGUUUCCAUGGCAACAUAGUAGUUCCAAUGAAUGCCAAAAUCAUCCAACACCUGUAUAUAGUGGGCACCUACAUUGUAUUAAAAUAUAAUGAUUCUGAGUUAAAGCAUAUCCAAACAGUUCACCAAAACAAAAAACUAGAUUUUUUCACAUUUGUUCCGUUUCCAUGGAAACGGCAGCCAUCUUGAACCAUUCCAUGGUGCCUGCAACUCUUCACCUAAGGGUCCUCUAUAUGAUAGAGUUCCAUCAACUUUGGUCCAUUGGAUUUCCAGAAAUCUCCUGGACAAAAUUAGGUGGAAGAAAAAUAAUAAAAAUAAGAAAAAAAAAAGAAACGUACAAUAACAAUACGUCACCCCAACUCCGUUGAGGGUGCCAUAAUAACACAUAGCUAAGA